AACGAUAUAUAAAUUGAAUUACAAUUUUAAGUAAGGUACAUCGUGGAUUAUCGAUU
RNAcentral lists this transfer RNA (56 nucleotides) under Syrphidae sp. MT-2014. RNAcentral describes it as "tRNA-Cys". Lineage: Eukaryota; Metazoa; Arthropoda; Insecta; Diptera; Syrphidae. The record is from RNAcentral.